ACAAGCCUGAGAAACGGCUAGUAGGACUAAGGUCUGCAGCAGGCGCGAAACUUACACAAUGCUAGAUUUCAAAUUAGCGAUGUAGUGAAGAAAAAUAACGAUGUACUUGUAUUUAAACAUACUUGUACAAUUGGAAUGAGACGACUCUAAACCAGUCAGUCGAGUAACAAAUGGAGGGCAAGUCUGGUGCCAGCAGCCGCGGUAAUUCCAGCUCCAUUAGCAUACAUUAAAGUUGUUGCGGUUAAAAAGCUCGUAGUUGAAUUUUGGACGGGCUCUUGUAGGAUGCGGCCGUUAAAGGCAUGCUAGUUGACUUCGGUCACUUCGUGCUGGUCGUAUUUCCAACACGGAACCCGUUGUUUCGUCACUUAAUCGAGUGCGAAGCGGGCUGGUGCACUAGGUGUCUCUUAGGAUUCACCAAUGCAGCAGCAUGUUUACCUUGAGAAAAUUAGAGUGCUCAGAGCAGGCAGUUGGGAUGUAAAAGUCUCUUUAUGCUUGAAUAAUGUUGCAUGGAAUAAUAGAAUACGGCCUCGGUUCUAUUCUGUUGGUCUUAUAGAACAACAAACAAGUUGGUUUAGGCAUCAAACGGCCUGUUGAUGGUGUGGUUUGUGUUCGGUUUUUGUUGUCUGGGGCCUAAAAAUCUCAGUACCUUGGCUGAAUCUUACCAUCAAAGCACCAUUAGCUUGGCUAGCCUUCAAAUCAACUGAGGCAAUGGUUAAAAGAAAUAGUCGCGGCGGCAUCAGUACUGCAUCGUGAGAG
This 756-nucleotide ribosomal RNA is filed under the name Abacarus hystrix. RNAcentral describes it as "partial 18S ribosomal RNA". It matches the Rfam family "Eukaryotic small subunit ribosomal RNA", at positions 389 to 910 of the family's 1831-position model. The record is from RNAcentral. Lineage: Eukaryota; Metazoa; Arthropoda; Arachnida; Trombidiformes; Eriophyidae.